This 787-nucleotide long non-coding RNA is filed under the name Triticum aestivum (bread wheat). RNAcentral's name for it is "long non-coding RNA (TAES_LNC008252)". The record is from RNAcentral. Lineage: Eukaryota; Viridiplantae; Streptophyta; Magnoliopsida; Poales; Poaceae.
UUCAGAGUACUGAUAGAACUCUCCUGUUAGAAACAUGGCGAGGACAAACCCCAACGAUUUCAGAAGCACUAUAAAGGGAAGUGUUGAGCAUAAAGAAGUAAUCUACUGCAGUGGUUAUGCUUUUUUGUUGUGGGUGAUAUGGUUUUCUUCUUAGGAACCCGCUGUAGUGUAAUGCCAUGAGAAUGCGUGUAAAAAUAUACUCUUUAUAUUGCAUCAUUGGCUUAGUGCUGACUUUUUGUUUUUUUUCAUCGGAUUUAGCAAAAGCUCGAUGAUGAUGAUUGCUAUGCAUCCACCAAAAUAACGAAAAAUUUCAUUGAUUCAGUAGCUGAUGUUGUGGCAAGAAUAAUUACUUUUCACAUUUCUUUCAUAUAGUUAAGUUUGUAAUGCAUGACCAAGUGCUGCUCCAUUUACCGUCUGCCAUCCUUAUGAUGUUGUAGAAUUACCAUGAAGGAAGGGGGCGGCCAAGGUGUCUCUCAGUGAGCAUUGGCUCGCCGAUCCUCUUGUCCUCUUACCCAAAGCGGCCAACUGAUUUGACUCUUGUGGACCGCUUCAAAGUUUCCUCUGGAAAAGCAGUUCUGCAGAACUUCUGGCCCAGGAAUCAGGAAGUGCGAUGCAGACCGAAUUAGAAACGAGAUCUUGCAGUUGUAAUAUAGGGGGUUGUGUCAGAGGCCUUGGGAGAAGUGUUGUCUGCAUAGGCUUGGCCUGGUUACAGUGGUCAGAACACUAGGACAACCCGAGAAAUAUAAAAUACACCAUUUAAAUGACCAGUAUCUGAUUUGAGUAUGUG